Molecule: non-coding RNA, 372 nt
Organism: Oncorhynchus nerka (sockeye salmon)
Lineage: Eukaryota; Metazoa; Chordata; Actinopteri; Salmoniformes; Salmonidae
Source: the annotation of a RefSeq genome assembly
AUGACUUUUAUCACCAUCUUCAUCUGGACACUUGUCUUCUACACACAAGAAUCCAGAGGACAGUACACUCUGACUCAGACACCUGCAGUGAAAGCUGACGGCAAUGGAGAGACGGUCAACAUUGGCUGUAAACUCAGCAGUGGUAUAUACAGUAAUUACCUGCACUGGUACCAACAGAGACCUGGAGAAGCUCCUAAACUCCUCAUUUAUCAGAUAAACAACAAGUUCACUGGGACUCCAUCUAGAUUCAGUGGUAGUGGAUCUGGGACUGACUUCACUCUGACCAUCAGUGGAGUCCAGGCUAAAGAUGCAGGAGAUUACUACUGUCAGAGUUACCACUACAUCAAUAGUAAAUAUGUGUUCACACAGUGA